Molecule: long non-coding RNA, 1227 nt
Filed under: Carassius auratus (goldfish)
Lineage: Eukaryota; Metazoa; Chordata; Actinopteri; Cypriniformes; Cyprinidae
Description: lncRNA (ENSCARG00000057247.1)
Source: RNAcentral
AUGUCUGUCAUCUGUCUGUCGUCCAUCUGUCUGUCAUCUGUCUGUCGUCUAUCUGUCUGUCAUCUAUCAGUCGUCUGUCUGUCAUCCAUCUGUCUGUCAGUCAUCUGUCUGUCGUCCAUCUGUCUGUCGUCUGUCUGUCUGUCAUCUGUCUGUCGUCUAUCUGUCUGUCAUCUGUCUGUCUGUCGUCCAUCUGUCUGUCGUCUGUCUCUCUGUCAUCUGUCUGUCGUCUAUCUGUCUGUCAUCUGUCUGUCGUCUAUCUGUCUGUCAUCUGUCUGUCGUCUAUCUGUCUGUCAUCUGUUUGCCGUCCAUCUCUCUGUCGUCUGUCUGUCGUCCAUCUGUCUGUCAUCUGUCUGUCGUCUGUCUGUCGUCCAUCUGUCUGUCGUCCAUCCGUCUGUCUCUCCAUCUGUCUGUCAUCUCUCUGUAAUCUUACUGCCGUCUGUCUGUCGUCCCAUGUCUGUUGUCUGUCUCUCUGUCAUCUGUCUCUCCAUCUGUCUGUCAUCUGUCUGCCGUCUGUCUGUCGUCCCAUGUGUCUCGUCUGUCUGUCUGUCAUCUGUCUGUCUGUCAUCUGGCUAUUUGUCACCUAUCCGUCUGUCUCUCCAUCUGUCUCUCAUCUGUCUGUCAACUGUCUGUCUGUCUGUCAUCUGUCUGUCUGUCAUCUGUCUGUCAUCUGUCUGUCUGUCAUCUGUCUGUCGUCCAUCUGUCUAUUUGUCAUCUGUUUGUCUGUCUCUCCAUCUGUCUGUCUGUCAUCUGUCAGUCAUCUGUCUGUUGUCCAUCUGUCUAUUUGUCAUCUGUGUGUCUUGUCUCUCCAUUUGUCUGUUUGUCAUCUGUCUAUCUCUCCAUAUGUCUGUUUGUCAUCUGUCUAUCUGUCUCUCCAUUUGUCCGUCUUUCUUUUUGUCUUUCCAUCUGUCUAUCAUCCAUCUGUCUCUCUCUCCAUCUGUCUGUCUCUCCAUUUAUCUGUCUGUCAUCUGUCUGUCUGUCUCACUAUCUGUCAUCUGUCUCUCUGUCAUCUGUUUAUCUUUCUCUCUUUCCAUCUGUCAUCUCUCUCUCUCUGUCUGUCUCUCCAUCUUUCUCUCAUCUGUCUGUCUCUCAUCUGUCUGUCUGUAUCUCUGUCCUUCUGUCUAUCUGUCUUUCUGUCUCCAUCUGUUUCUCCAUGUGUCUGUCUGUCUGUGGAGAGACAGCACUCUGUUUUCCAUGAGAAUGCAGGAAUGCUGCUCUCUUUGCUUGUGA